This 317-nucleotide long non-coding RNA is filed under the name Androctonus crassicauda. Lineage: Eukaryota; Metazoa; Arthropoda; Arachnida; Scorpiones; Buthidae. The record is from RNAcentral.
AAGAACACUAAGUGACGGGGCAAAACAAGCCCUUCCACAAGCUGCCCAUCUCUGCGGAGGGGUCUUUUUUUUUGUCAACAGAUGUCGCCACACUCCAUUCUGGUAGAAUACUAUGUGGCGGGGCGAAACAAGCCCUUCCACAAACUGCCCAUCUCUGCGGAGGGGUCUUUUUUUUUGUCAACAGAUGUCGCCACACUCCAUUCUGGUAGAAUACUAUGUGACGGGGCGAAACAAGCCCUUCCACAGGCUGCCCACCCCUGCGGAGGGGUCUUUUUUUGGUCAACAGAUGUCGCAACACUCCAUUCUGGUAGAAUACU